RNAcentral lists this ribosomal RNA (309 nucleotides) under uncultured archaeon. RNAcentral describes it as "bacterial SSU rRNA". It matches the Rfam family "Archaeal small subunit ribosomal RNA", at positions 526 to 834 of the family's 1478-position model. The record is from RNAcentral.
CGGCCGAUCAAGUCCGUCGGGAAAUCCAUUGGCCCAACCAAUGGGCGACCGGCGGAAACUGAUCGGCUUGGGACCGGAAGACCCGAGGGGUACGUCCGGGGUAGGAGUGAAAUCCCGUAAUCCUGGACGGACCGCCGGUGGCGAAAGCGCCUCGGGAAGACGGAUCCGACGGUGAGGGACGAAAGCUAGGGUCUCGAACCGGAUUAGAUACCCGGGUAGUCCUAGCCGUAAACGAUGGCCGCUAGGUGUGGCGCAGGCUACGAGCCUGCGCUGUGCCGUAGGGAAGCCGUGAAGCGGCCCGCCUGGGAA